GCCCGCAUAGAUCAACACUAGAUCAUCUCUCCACAAUACAUUGCAACAUUCGGCCUGGUACCGAGAAGUAGGAGGUUCGAAUCCUCCUGUGGGCA
This is a non-coding RNA of Mycena metata, 95 nucleotides long. The record is from the annotation of a GenBank genome assembly. Lineage: Eukaryota; Fungi; Basidiomycota; Agaricomycetes; Agaricales; Mycenaceae.